Molecule: ribosomal RNA, 48 nt
Filed under: Plectosphaerella cucumerina
Lineage: Eukaryota; Fungi; Ascomycota; Sordariomycetes; Glomerellales; Plectosphaerellaceae
Description: partial 28S ribosomal RNA
Source: RNAcentral
GGUUGACCUCGGAUCAGGUAGGAAUACCCGCUGAACUUAAGCAUAUCU